Molecule: RNase P RNA, 389 nt
Filed under: bovine gut metagenome
Description: Bacterial RNase P class A
Rfam family: Bacterial RNase P class A
About the family: Ribonuclease P (RNase P) is a ubiquitous endoribonuclease, found in archaea, bacteria and eukarya as well as chloroplasts and mitochondria. Its best characterised activity is the generation of mature 5'-ends of tRNAs by cleaving the 5'-leader elements of precursor-tRNAs.
Source: RNAcentral
GGCGUAGGAGGGAGGAAAGUCCGGACUCCACAGGGCAGAGGAUCCGUUCGUCAAGGACGGAAGGUGCGAAGUGAUUUCGCACGAUGGAAAGUGCCACAGAAAAAAAGUAGCUGUUGGUGAUGAGCUGUUAGCGGUUAGCUGUUAGCGGUUCGUUCUGGCAGUCAUAGUGAAAGGGUAGCGUAAGAGACUACCGGCUCGCGUUGAGAGGCGCGGGCGCAGGGCAAACCCUCCUCGGAGCAAGAUCAAAUAGGGAACCGACCGGCUGCCCGUCGGGCGUCCGUUCCGCAAGGGGCGGGCUAAGGUUUCGGGUUGAUUGCGUUAGAUGAAUGAUCGGAUCCUCCUAUGCCCUUCGGGGUUGCAGAGGAGAACAGAAUCUGGCUUAUUCGCCG